CAGGAUGAACGCUAGCGACAGGCCUAACACAUGCAAGUCAGGGGCAGCACAAGGAGCAAUCUGAGGUGGCGACCGGCGCACGGGUGAGUAACACGUAUGCAACCUGCCUGUAAGCGGGGAAUAACCCGUUGAAAGACGGACUAAUACCGCAUAAUACUAAAUUACUGCAUGGUAAUUUAUUUAAACAUUUAUGGCUUACAGAUGGGCAUGCGCAUGAUUAGCUAGUUGGAGAGGUAACGGCUCCCCAAGGCAACGAUCAUUAGGGGUUCUGAGAGGAAGGUCCCCCACACUGGUACUGAGACACGGACCAGACUCCUACGGGAGGCAGCAGUGAGGAAUAUUGGUCAAUGGACGAGAGUCUGAACCAGCCAAGUCGCGUGCAGGAAGAAUGUCCCUAUGGAUUGUAAACUGCUUUUGCAGGGGAAUAAAGUGCAUCACGUGUGAUGUUUUGUAUGUACUCUGCGAAUAAGGAUCGGCUAACUCCGUGCCAGCAGCCGC
This 498-nucleotide ribosomal RNA is filed under the name uncultured bacterium. RNAcentral describes it as "bacterial SSU rRNA". It matches the Rfam family "Bacterial small subunit ribosomal RNA", at positions 25 to 518 of the family's 1533-position model. The record is from RNAcentral.